Molecule: long non-coding RNA, 823 nt
Organism: Hyla sarda
Lineage: Eukaryota; Metazoa; Chordata; Amphibia; Anura; Hylidae
Exons: 6
Source: RefSeq, a predicted model, not a curated record
GUAGCGUCCGGGACUCGGCCGAUAUGAGACAACAUAGUAAGGCAAUAUAUGAAUAUUCAUUAGCCGGGCGGUGCUGCGGGCAGGGCGGCGGUUACAACACAGUGGCAGUUGAAGGCAGUAACCCCGCCUUUGCCAGUUAAGUGCUAAUUUUAAUACACAGAAAAAGACCUGUAACGGGCAAACGGUGCAGCGGAUCCGGGCAAGAUCGGACUCAGUCUGGUUGAGGAGCUACUGGCCGGAGCGCUCUCCCACUGCCCGCCCACACCCGGAGGAUCACAGAAGUACGAAGGAUAGAUCUACCGGAGCAGCUUCCAGCCACACGAGAUAUAACAUCGAGGGAGCAGAAGUGUCUUCGUUUUUUACCCCACUACAUCUCCAGCUCGUUUAAACCAUUUGUUCAUAAAUCUAAUACACAUUCUCAGUGACAGUGAACUCUACUGACAGACUGGCAGAAUACAGACUUCGGAAUUUAUGAUGCAAAAAUUCUAAUCUGUGAACAGUACUGACCCCUGAUGGGAGAACCAGUGACUCAGAACCAACCUCUAAAGACUGAUAUAUUCAGAAUCCUCAGGAUACUAUUCUCACUUGUGACCUCCAGACUUCCUUUGAAGAAUUUCUUAUUUCUUUUCUGUAUCACUGACCUCACUAAAGUUUUACCUAGACAUACUGUAUUUUUCUGUUCUUUAUAAUCAAAAUCUGAGGAAUGACCAUUUAAAGAAAACCCAAGGUGGUGAAUAUAAGUUGUACCUGAGACCUGAUGGCCCCCAUCAUAAGUCAAAGGGAUCUAUUACACAAUGGGUCCAUCAUAAAUACCAUUGCUCUG